GUGGGGAAUAUUGGACAAUGGGCGAAAGCCUGAUCCAGCCGUGCCGCGUGUGUGAAGAAGGUCUUCGGAUUGUAAAGCACUUUGAGUUGGGAGGAAGGGCAGUAAGUUAAUACCUUGCUGUUUUGACGUUACCAACAGAAUAAGCACCGGCUAACUUCGUGCCAGCAGCCGCGGUAAUACGAAGGGUGCAAGCGUUAAUCGGAAUUACUGGGCGUAAAGCGCGCGUAGGUGGUUCAGCAAGUUGGAGGUGAAAUCCCCGGGCUCAACCUGGGAACUGCCUCCAAAACUACUGAGCUAGAGUACGGUAGAGGGUAGUGGAAUUUCCUGUGUAGCGGUGAAAUGCGUAGAUAUAGGAAGGAACACCAGUGGCGAAGGCGACUACCUGGACUGAUACUGACACUGAGGUGCGAAAGCGUGGGGAGCAAACAGGAUUAGAAACCCGUGUAGUCC
This 450-nucleotide ribosomal RNA is filed under the name uncultured bacterium. RNAcentral's name for it is "partial 16S ribosomal RNA". It matches the Rfam family "Bacterial small subunit ribosomal RNA", at positions 354 to 796 of the family's 1533-position model. The record is from RNAcentral.